This 3640-nucleotide long non-coding RNA is filed under the name Mytilus galloprovincialis (Mediterranean mussel). Lineage: Eukaryota; Metazoa; Mollusca; Bivalvia; Mytilida; Mytilidae. The record is from RNAcentral.
AGACUUUCCUGAUGGACGAAGGCAAAAGUGAUAGCUCGAAUAAAAGUGUAAUUCGUCGCUUUUAUACACUUUUUGACUACAAUGAUAGCAUGUAAUAUUAUUUAAUUCAAUUGUAGAAAUUACACAAUUUGCUGAAACAUAUUGUAGACUUGAUCAGUUUUGAUAGGAAUAGAUGGAACUGAAACCUCUCGCCCCGUUGACAACUCGUCCUAGACAAACUCGCCCCACUUUAAGGUUUACCAACUUGACCCACUAAUGAACAGGCAUUUAAUCCUGCUGAAUAAAAACCUGUAAACCAGUGAUGGAUCCAGGGGAUGGGGAUUCGAUCAAUGCAUUUUUUGCUCACAAGGGCCCCAAGGUUCCCAUCUGAGCUUAUGCCAUCACUUGGCAUCCGUCGUCAUCUGUCAGCAUCGUAAACUAUUUCUUAAAUCUUCUUUUAAACUACUGGGCCAAAUACCUUCAAAAGUUAACUUAAUGUUCCUUAGGGUAUCUAGUUUAUAAAUUGUAUCCAAGGUUUUGAUCCAUCGACAAACAUGGCCGCCAUGUCUAAAAAUAGAAAAAGGGGUCAAAUGCAGUUUUUGUCUUAUAUCUCAAAAACUAAAGCUAUGAGAGCAAAUCUGACAGUGGUAAAAUUGUUCAAUUGGUCAAAAUUUAUCAGCCCUGAAAUUUUCAGACGAAUCCAGCAACGUUCAUGACGUUGCUGCCACCAAAUUCGUGGUAGUUUUAACGAAACUUCACAUUUUUUGUUAUUAUUUUGAAUAUCAUUAUAGAUAAGUAUAAACUGGAAACAGCAAUAAUGUUCAGCAAAGUAAGAUCUAUAAAAAAGUUAUAUGACAAAAAUGACAAUUGACCCCUUAAAAUUGCCCUUUAAAGAAAUUUACACUAUUUGUUCAUCAAGUUUGCUAACACUUAAAAAUCUUCUCCUGAAAUGCAGGUGAGUGAUUCAGGCUCUUGAGAGCCUCUUGCUAUAAAUUUCUGGAUCCACCCAAGGCAACCCUACCCACUUAUGAAAAGGAAUCAUAUCAGAAAAGGGGACACAUAUCCUCUUCUCUUGAGUUUUUGUGCUAUUAAAAAUACAUAGUGAUGUCACAAUUUCCAUUGAAAAAGUAUACAUAGUACGAAUUCAUAUGAUGUACAAAAAACAUAUGAUCUGACCAUACUUGCCUUCCCAUGCUGCUAAACUUAUAUUUCAUUGAGAGCAACAAAAAAACACAUUACUGCCAUGGCAUUUUUAUUUGGAGAGAUAGAUAACAUCACAAGACAAAUAUGCAUCAUUAUACAACACUUGUAAAAAGAGACACAAUUCUCAAGACUUUACUUCAAAACACAUAUGAGCAUACAUAUACACAACACAAGACAUGAUAACUUGUACAAAAAAUGAAAAGUAUUCAUAUUUCCCGUAAUAACGAACAAACAACUUUUCAUAAGAGUGGUGAGUUGUUAGGUUUCAAUACAGUGGGAUUAAACUUCAUUGAUAAAGAGGAUAGAGUUAAUAACAUGAGUUAGGCAAGUUGGUAGAAAAUUUGAAGGAGAUGGUCUUGGAUGAUAUGGAAAUGAGGCAACUUGUCGUUGGUUGUUCGAAAGUUGCAUUUAAUAUUUGUUGUGGAUUAGUUUUUAUUAUUUUAUUUUUUUAUGAUUCCAUUAAUUUAUUUCUGGUAAUGUGAUGUGAAGAAGCUUGCCCCCAUCUUCUCCCUUUAACUUCCCAGCAAACAUCCAAUCCCCAAUAAACAGAAGAGAUCAAUCUCAACCAACUAAAAUCUGCAAUUAUUUCAAAUUGUCUAACUGAUUAAAAUAGUUGUCCCACUUAAAAAUGACCCCUUGAAAACUAAUCAUCAUUUAUGGGAAUGAUGGAUGAGUUGGUGUUUAAAUUGCAUCUUCAAAUAUUCCCUAAAUAUGAGGACCACACAUGUUAGUACCAUAUGCAGGAUAAUUAGAUACAAGUAUCAUCGAAGAAAAUUCUGCAGCAAUCAUAAGCACACAACAAAUGCAUAUUUCCAUUCUCAAUUUUAUAUGCAUCAACAAGAGUACCUACUAUAUAUUGAUAACAUUUAAAUUGUUAUAAAGUUAUUCGUAGAGACAGAAACAAUAAAUUGGACAUCUGAUUAAUAAUAAAUGCUUGUUUUAAUUUAUUUCAGCAAUACUGAAGAAGUGGAUAAUGUUGAAGAAGAGGAAAGUUACAGGUUUAUAUACUUAUUUGUAUAUGUUUAUCGCUUGUCCAGUUAAUGGUACUACUAUUAAUUGGUAAUAUAGUUUAGAAAUAUGGUACCAAACAUAUAUAUAUUAAAAGCUAACUUAGAUGUGUCUGUACUUUAGUUUAUCACCAAUUUGUACAUUUUCCUUUUGAUCCUAAUACUAAUCUAAUAUAUAAUUAAAUUCCAUGUGGUGAACAAACGCCUAUGUGAAUCAUUUCGUUAGAGUCCCUGAAGUGGAUACCUUGGUAUGCAGGGUUGUCAAAUUAUGCAAAUAAAUGCAACAUUAAAAUGAUGCUCAAAAUUGACAACAACACUUCGAAUGGUCUGCAAUUUUAUUUGCUAUGGUCUACAUGUUUCGCCUGCAAGGCAGGCUUCAUCAGGACAAUUUUAAUACAGAAAUUAAUCCCUGAAGUACUCAAAGUGGUGCAAUGUGACGUCGUCAUGGUGAGAGAAACAAUGAAAAGUGAAAGUAGCAAUACAGAGUUAUUAAUCUAAUAUAUAUGUUCCAGACCGUAUGAGUAUUUGGACCGUACGCGUACAGUCUGGACCGUAUGCGUACUUUUUCGAAAUACUCAUACGGUUGGACCGUACGCGUACGGUCUGACUAAUAUCAAGGAGUUGGUCAAUUGUACUAGAUACAAAUACAUAUAACAGAUCAACAUAACUUAACUCUCAAAUAAAUAGAAAAAAAAUCAAUUGUAAUUGAAAUAAAAACUUUACAUUUUAACUAUUUAAAAAAUUCACGCUAAUUAAAUCUGUAAAUCUCUAGUAUUUAGCAUGUAGAUCAGUCAUACAUAAUACACUAAUUGAAUUAUGACAAUUAUUCUCACUGAAAUUGAAUGCGAAUAAUGUGGGAGGACAAUUGCUUUAGAAUAUUUAGCAACUUUAAAAAAAAAUGCUAAUCGAAAGGAACAUGCAUGAACUGAAAAAAUGUAAAUAUGAAAAAUAUACUUUUGGUAGCGAGUGUCACCUUUGACGAGAGUUUCAAAAUAGAUUCAAUAUUACAAUUAAACAAAUUCUAAUUUAAAUUGUUAGGUAGUUCAUUUUAUCCAUCUUAUGUAAUAAUAACAAUUUGUAAAACUAAAAAAUAAAGAUUGAUAAAUGUUUGUAUAGAUGUAUCCAAUAACAUGUAUGGUCAGCUCAUACUGGACCAUACGCGUAUACUCAUACGGUCCGACCGUACGCGUAUGGUCGGACCGUACGAGUAUACGUAUACGGUCUGGAACAUAUAUAUACUUAAUGUUAUAGACAGGAACUGAUGUAUACUCUAAAACAUUAUUUCACAUAUACAGCAUGUAUUUUGUAUUUUUAGCUUAACAGUACUAUGCACAGAUGUUCCAGCUUCUCUAGAAAUCGAACUGAGGAAAUUAUUAUCCCAAAAGCUAUCAAAAAGUGCUGUGUAUUUUGGUGCUGGCAGUGUAACACAGUUCGAAGUAAGGUAAGAUAUC